AAUCCGAUCUAGAAUAUGACCUAA
RNAcentral lists this non-coding RNA (24 nucleotides) under Gossypium hirsutum (cotton). The record is from RNAcentral. Lineage: Eukaryota; Viridiplantae; Streptophyta; Magnoliopsida; Malvales; Malvaceae.